UCAAGAAACUUCCACAAUGGGCGAAAGCCUGAUGGAGCGACGUCGCGUGAUGGACGAAGUGCUUCGGCACGUAAACAUCUUUUAUGUGGGAUGAAAUUAUUGACAGUACCACAUGAAUAAGGGGCUCCUAACUCUGUGCCAGCAGGAGCGGUAAUACAGAGGCCCCAAGCGUUAUCCGGAAUCACUGGGCGUAAAGGGCGCGUAGGUGGAUGCGUGAGUAAAUUGUGAAAGACCCGGGCUUAACCUGGGAAGGUCAAUUUAAACGGCGUAUCUAGAGUGGAGUAGAGGGAAGUAGAAUUUCCGGUGUAGCGGUGAAAUGCGUAGAUAUCGGAAGGAAUACCGGUGGCGAAGGCGUCUUCCUGGACUCUAACUGACACUGAGGCGCGAAAGCAUGGGGAUCAAACAGGAUUAGAUACCCGCGUAGUCCCUGAGCGGGCUGGCAAGGCGCAU
RNAcentral lists this ribosomal RNA (450 nucleotides) under uncultured bacterium. RNAcentral describes it as "bacterial SSU rRNA". It matches the Rfam family "Bacterial small subunit ribosomal RNA", at positions 355 to 825 of the family's 1533-position model. The record is from RNAcentral.